Molecule: long non-coding RNA, 199 nt
Filed under: Lathyrus oleraceus (garden pea)
Lineage: Eukaryota; Viridiplantae; Streptophyta; Magnoliopsida; Fabales; Fabaceae
Description: Pisum sativum (pea) long non-coding RNA (PSAT_LNC002204)
Source: RNAcentral
AACAUAUAAGUAAAUGAUUCCCUCCCCCACACUUAAGACACACAUUAUCCUCAAUGAAAGAAUAUAAGUAUAAAAUAAGAGAGAAGAGAGCUAGGAAAGAACACACUCGAGGAGUCAAGGUGAAUAGAUUACCGCAUAAACAACCUUCUUAAAGAGAUCUCUUUUACAAUAUCUUCUUCAAAGUGGGGAUCUCACGGAG